Non-coding RNA from Chiloscyllium plagiosum (whitespotted bambooshark), 1512 nucleotides. The record is from RefSeq and is a predicted model, not a curated record. Lineage: Eukaryota; Metazoa; Chordata; Chondrichthyes; Orectolobiformes; Hemiscylliidae.
UUUUCAUUGGAUGUUUCUAAUUAAAAAGAAGAAAGCUCCACUUCGUUUUGAGCCAGCAAUAACUUGCCUUCAUUGCACCUUUGAUAUCCUUCACAGAAGCAAUUAACAAACAAAAAUGGACAUUGAGUCAGCCACAAAAAGGAGGUAGAAAGAUGUUGUCAUUGAGUGGCAGUGGAACAACAUAUGUCAAGAGUUAUAGAGAACUGAGUGCUGGCAGUUGGUGGGGAAAGUGGAGAGUUGCAGAGAUGAGCUUGUUGGAAGUCCAACAUCAGAAUGGAGGGCAGAAGGAGGCUGGAGGUGAAAGUUCAUGUGAUAAAACCCCAGGAAUAUGUUCAACCACCACUGGCCACUGAGGUACCUGGGAGCAAAGUAGGAGUGGUAUACUAAAGUGUCAAUGAUCAACCUCAAAAUGAAUGAGAAAGUCAAUAUAGUACCUGCCUCUCAGUUCAGCUCUGCUGCUAAACAUAAGGGAGCUUCAAUGGCCACACCCAGACCCCCCAUUUGGGGAAUGAAAAUAAAAACAUCAGGGUUCCAAUGACUGAUCCAGGGACUAGUAUUGACAUGUGGUUUUGUAUAGUGAAAACAACAUUAAGCUCAGCAAUGAUGUUCCUGCAAUGAUAAAAUAUUCCAUCACUUACUAGAAACAAAUGUAAUACUGCAGGGAUUCUAUGAUCAGUAUGCAUCCUGGGAAACAGACCGUACAGCAAAAGUCCUGCAUCACUGAGCUAUUCAGGAUGAACUUGGAUGAAAACCACUGCAUCUUUCUCUAGACUUCCUUUGCAAAGGCAUGUUCCAGAAGGAGAUAUGUGUCCGUCUCUAAUCCCUCGUGACUGAUUUAAGGACAGUAUGCAGUGGCGUAGACAGACCAGGCAUACAAGAUUCUCACAGGUAGUGCCCUUCUCACUGCCAGCUCAGUUAGUCUUUUGAGAUAGUGGGAAAAUAGUGUAAUAUUGUAAAGUCAGUAAUUGUACUGAGAAAUUAUGUCAAGGUCAGUGCUGGAACACCAUGAACCACUUCUUCAACUAAGUGGAAACAUCUGACUGCAAUACUGUACUGCAAGAAUUCAAACUUUGUGACUUGAGUUCUAUUUGAAAUGCAUAGGCAAAGCACUGUCAUGUGAAACCACUCCAGACACUUAAAAUGGGAGACAUUUGCUUUUAUAUUUAUGGAUUUAAAUUUUUUGUGACAUGCAUAAUGAAUGUGAAGAUCACCUAUAUCCUGUGAGUUACCUUGGAUAUACAUUAUCUCUGUCUAUAUCCUAACUGUGUAGAUCAAGUUCAAUGCUGUUUGAGAACAGAUUAUCAAAGCUUCUUCUUAAGUUUGGAGCAGUUUUGAAAAAUACUUUCUGUAUUAGUGAUAUUAAUUAGUAUAUUCAUGUGGGAGAUCUAAUUACUGAGAGGUAACUAUGCAGGAGAUAACAAAUUACUCUUAGUUUUGCUCCAUUCAAAUGUCAUUUGUGCCUUUAUCUUCAGCCUUUCUGGAAUAAAAUAGGGUGUUAAGCAUUUUUUUAAA